GCUGUAGUUGGUCACGUGCGUUUGAGCACUUUAUGACUUACAAAAUGCUUUCCUAGGAAUGCUCUCACUUGGGCCGCGGAACAACCCGGGGAAGAUGGUGUUAUUAUCUCCUUUCACAGGGGAGGAAAUUAAAGCUUGGAGAGCCCGCUCCAAUUACAGCGCCAGAACUCGCGCCCGAGGACACACCCAAAACAAGGGGCCCAGGAUAAAGACCUCGAGGGUGCCUGGGCUGUGACCGGAUGCUCCUUUGGCAGCUCGCCGUGCCGGCGGGCUCUCGCAUUCCCUGCAGCUUCUGCCUGCCGAUGUCUGCAGAGCUCACGUCCUCUGCCGCAAAGGACUCGUUCCAGCGAGGCCUCCCUGACCCCCUCGCUGCCUAAUGUCCCUAAAACCCUAGCCCUCGGUAGGGUCUACGCAGUGCUUCUCAAACCUGAAUGUCGAAUCACCUGGGCAUCUUGCUGCAACCCAAAUGCACAUUCAGCGGGCUCAGGACGGGUCCCCAAGUUUCUAAGAGGUUCCCACCUUAUGUUGCUGCUGCCCGUCCGCCUGGGCAUGUGGAGGACAUUUU
Molecule: long non-coding RNA, 565 nt
Organism: Herpailurus yagouaroundi (jaguarundi)
Lineage: Eukaryota; Metazoa; Chordata; Mammalia; Carnivora; Felidae
Exons: 2
Source: RefSeq, a predicted model, not a curated record